This 487-nucleotide ribosomal RNA is filed under the name uncultured Lachnospiraceae bacterium. RNAcentral describes it as "partial 16S ribosomal RNA". Lineage: Bacteria; Bacillati; Bacillota; Clostridia; Lachnospirales; Lachnospiraceae. The record is from RNAcentral.
CACGUAGUUAGCCGGGGCUUCUUAGUCAGGUAUCGUCAUUUUCUUUCCUGCUGAUAGAGCUUUACAUACCGAAAUACUUCUUCACUCACGCGGCGUCGCUGCAUCAGGGUUUCCCCCAUUGUGCAAUAUUCCCCACUGCUGCCUCCCGUAGGAGUUUGGGCCGUGUCUCAGUCCCAAUGUGGCCGUUCACCCUCUCAGGCCGGCUACUGAUCGUCGCCUUGGUGGGCCUCUACCCCGCCAACAAGCUAAUCAGACGCGGGUCCAUCGUAUACCACCGGAGUUUUUCACACCAGGCCAUGCGAUCCUGUGCGCUUAUGCGGUUUUAGCACCUAUUUCUAAGUGUUAUCCCCCUGUAUACGGCAGGUUACCCACGCGUUACUCACCCGUCCGCCACUAACAGAUAAAUCACUAGGUUCAUUACCUGUCCGUUCGACUUGCAUGUGUUAAGCACGCCGCCAGCGUUCAUCCUGAGCCAGGAUCAAACUCU